CCUACGGGAGGCAGCAGUGAGGAAUAUUGGUCAAUGGGCGCGAGCCUAAACCAGCCAAGUAGCGUGAAGGAUGACUGCCCUACGGGUUGUAAACUUCUUUUAUAAAGGAAUAAAGUGAGGCCCGUGUGCCUUUUUGUAUGUACUUUAUGAAUAACGAUCGGCUAACUCCGUGCCAGCAGCCGCGGUAAUACGGAGGAUCCGGGCGUUAUCCGGAUUUAUUGGGGUUAAAGGGGGCGUAGAUGGGUUGUUAAGUCAGUUGUGAAUGUUUGCGGCUCAAACGUAAAAUUGCAAUUGAUACUGGCAGCCUUGAGUACAGUUGAGGUAGGCGGAAUGCGUGGUGUAGCGGUGAAAUGCUUAGAUAUCACGAAGAACUCCGAUUGCGAAGGCAGCCUACUAAACUGCCACUGACAUUGAUGCUCGAAAGUGUGGGUAUCAAACAGGAUUAGAUACCCGAGUAGUC
This 460-nucleotide ribosomal RNA is filed under the name uncultured bacterium. RNAcentral describes it as "partial 16S ribosomal RNA". It matches the Rfam family "Bacterial small subunit ribosomal RNA", at positions 338 to 795 of the family's 1533-position model. The record is from RNAcentral.